GUCUCACCUGUCCUCUCCAGUAAAGUAACACUGUCAGUAACAGGAUUAAUCGAUCGUGGAACCUGGCCCUCAGGCCUCCUAAACAAUGAGUUGAUUAGGAUGACUUUCGUCUCGCCUCACCUGUCCUCUCCAGUAUAGUAACACUGUCAGUAACAGGAUUAAUCGAUCGUGGAACCUGGCCCUCAGGCCUCCUAAACAAUGAGUUGAUUAGGAUGACUUUCGUCUCGCCUCACCUGUCCUCUCCAGUAUAGUAACACUGUCAGUAACAGGAUUAAUCGAUCGUGGAACCUGGCCCUCAGGACCACUAAACAAUGAGUUGAUUAUUGAUUAGGAUGACUUUAGUCUCACCUGUCCUCUCCAGUAAAGUAACACUGUCAGUAACAGUGUAUUAUACAGUCAAAGGCCAUCUGCUCUAUAAGGUCGUGCCGGGGUCUUCUUAACUGGGCUAUGAGAACGGGGAAGUCCGUCUGUGAAUGGGGGAGGACGAAGCACAGACGCCGGAGCAUGUCUGCCACUCUUUCAGAGCGGGUGAAGCGCGCCUCCGUUUCACGCCAGAGCAGCUCUUCCACCAAAGAUUGCUUUGCUGCCACACCCACAACGGAAGGCAGUAUAUUAUUUUCCAUCCGCUCUCUCCUGUAUACUGUAGCCCCUGUAACUCAUAGCGUCACUCCAGCAGACUGACGGUCAUAUUGAGGUGUAUUAUUGAGUUGAACUAUGUAGAGUUCAGUACGUUCCUGGGUAGGGACUAGAGUGUGUGUUGUAUUUUAAGUAGGUCUCUCUCUUUCUCUCUGGUUUGAUUUCCUGUGAAUGCUAAGGGAGAGAACAGUACCCACACACACAUUUACAUUGUCGUCAUUUAGUAGUAUACUGCCAUGUCCACUGGUAGUACAGCUAUCUCCCCUGCUGAAGAAAAACAAUGAAAAACACAACGAAUGCUGGUCACCAGCCAAAACACAAUAACCAGCUGGUGACCAGCCUUCGUUGUGUUUUAGCUGGUGACCGGCCUUCGUUGUGGUUUAGCUGGUGACCAGCCUUCGUUGUGGUUUAGCUGGUGACCGGCCUUCGUUGUGUUUUGGCUGGUGACCAGCCUUCUUUGUGGUUUAGCUGGUGACCAGCCUUCAUUGUGGUUUAGCUGGUGACCAGCCUUCGUUGUGUUUUGGACACUGGAGACCCUGCUAAGUCACAUUAUGCUGGCUUGCAAAGUGAAGUGUAAUUCCUAUGGGAAUCCAACCUGUGUGGGGAUAUCCAACAAUUAGAAUCUGUAAUCAGAAUGGCAGCCAGAGUUAGUAAGAUUUAAGAAAUGAGAAUAUCUAAACCAAUUACACGGGAACAACCAUUUCAGUGACAAAAGAUUGGAUUAUUUUCGAAAAAAAUGUAUGAUAUUUAUCUUUGUUUAGCAUAAGAUUCAUUCAUUGAUUAAUACAUGGACAAUGAGUGCACGCAUAAACAUAGAUAUUGAUACAAACAAUUCUACAAAUCUAACUGUAAUAGAGCAGGCUGGGAAAUGUUAAGUAACUUACUGGAAGCUUAACAGGCAACUAACUGUCAGUAACUUACUGGAAGCUUAACAGGCAACUAACUGCCAGUAAUUUACUGGAAGCUUAACAGGCAACUAACUGCCAGUAACUUACUGGAAGCUUAACAGACAACUAACUGUCAGUAACUUACUGGAAGCUUAACAGACAACUAACUCUGCCAGUUCCUGCAACACCAUCAGGUCAGUGAGCAUGACAGCGAUCAGCUAUAGUAAGUUACGGAAGAUCUCAUAGUAACUACUUGCAGCAAACUGACCUACUGCCAUUAAGUUAUUGAAAAAUUCACAGUAACCUGUUAAUAAUGCACAAAUGUAGAAAUGGGAGUGGAUAAAUGAGCUGCUCAGCCAUCAACAUAACGAUAAAACACCUCGAAUUGGUUCACAACACUUCCACUAUCGGUUGGCACCAAUACAAAAUAUUUUAGACCAUGCCUCCAAAUAUGCUAAUGUACACAUUACCCCCACAUUUAAAACUGCAGUGAAAGUAAUGUAAACAACAACAAGUCAUUUUACAACCAUAACACUUUAAUUCCACUGCAACUCAGUAGCUGGUAACUUACUGUCAAAUUACAGGUACAUUUUAAGCACAUCUGAAUUAGCCUAUCAAUAGAACUGUAGAACCUUUCAUUGGUUCUACAUGGAACCCGAGGGUUCUUCAUGAGAGGGUUCUACAUGGAACCCGAGGGUUCUUCAUGAGAGGGUUCUACAUGGAACUGAAAGGUGUUCCCCUACAGGGGCAAAUCAAAGGGUUCUACAUGGAACUAGAGGGUUCUUCAUGAGAGGGUUCUACAUGGAACGAGAGGGUUCUUCAUGAGAGGGUUCUACAUGGAACCAGGGGGUUCUUCAUGAGAGGGUUCUUCAUGAGAGGGUUCUACAUGGAACCCGAGGGUUCUUCAUAAGAGGGUUCUACAUGGAACCAGAGGGUUCUUCAUGAGAGGGUUCUACAUGGAACCAGGGGGUUCUUCAUGAUAGGGUUCUACAUGGAACCAGAAGGUUCUUCAUGAGAGGGUUCUACAUGGAACCAGGGGGUUCUUCAUGAGAGGGUUCUACAUGGAACCAGUGGGUUCUUCAUGAAAGGGUUAUAAAUUAGACUAAAAAGGGUUCCCCUACAUGGACAAACAACAGAAUGUCUAUUAUUUAAAUUUUUUUAAAUCUUUGUCAUACCCACAGAUCCAUUGGCGUAGAAGGAAAUUCAGGUCGCUGGGAACCGAGAGGUUGUGCGUUCAAAGUCCCAGCGAGGUUUACUCCCUCUCAAAUAAUCAGCAUGUUGCUGGUCUGCAAAACCACGCCCUUCCUUAUCAUAUUUCCCAGCAUGCUCUAGUCCAGUUAUAUUUUUAGAAGAUGUUGCAAUAUCUGUGUUUUUGCAUUCAUCAACUAACUAAUUCCUCAAUUAACUAAUUAAUCAAUUCAUGUAUCUUAUGGUCCACAAAGAUAAAUCACUGUUUCUACAAUCUGUUAGUUGUACUUUUUUAUCGGACCUGUUGCUAAAAUGGUUUAUCUAGUCUCGUUCAUUCAUGGUUCUAACCCGGCUGUCAUUCUGACUGCAGAUUACACUAAUUCACUCUGGCUAGAUUUCCAAUAGGAAUUAAAUGUAACUCUGCUGAAUGAGACUUGAUACUGGUUUUAUUUCAGCUUAUGCUGGUCUCCAGUGUUCAAAGCACAGCGAAGGCUGGUAUGCCAGCAUAACCAGCUAGACCAGCAUGGAUCAGCAGAGGUCAGCUAGACCAGCAUGGAUCAGCAGAGGCCAGCUAGACCAGCAUGGAUCAGCAGAGGCCAGCUAGAGCAGCAUGGAUCAGCAGAGGUCAGCUAGACCAGCAUGGAUCAGCAGAGGCCAGCUAGAGCAGCAUGGAUCAGCAGAGGCCAGCUAGACCAGCAUGGAUCAGCAGAGGCCAGCUAGACCAGCAUGGAUCAGCAGAGGCCAGCAUGGAUCAGUAGAGGUCAGCUAGACCAGCAUGGAUCAGUAGAGGCCAGCUUGACCAGCAUGGAUCAGCAUAACCAGCUAGACCAGCAUGGAUCAGCAGAGGCCAGCUAGACCAGCAUGGAUCAGCAGAGGCCAGCUUGACCAGCAUGGAUCAGCAGAGGCCAGCUAGACCAGCAUGGAUCAGCAGAGGCCAGCUAGACCAGCAUGGAUCAGCAGAGGCCAGCUUGACCAGCAUGGAUCAGUAGAGGUCAGCUAGACCAGCAUGGAUCAGCAGAGGCCAGCUAGACCAGCAUGGAUCAGCAGAGGCCAGCUUGACCAGCAUGGAUCAGUAGAGGUCAGCUAGACCAGCAUGGAUCAGCAGAGGCCAGCUAGACCAGCAUGGAUCAGCAGAGGCCAGCUAGACCAGCAUGGAUCAGCAGAGGCCAGCUUGACCAGCAUGGAUCAGUAGAGGUCAGCUAGACCAGCAUGGAUCAGCAGAGGCCAGCUAGACCAGCAUGGAUCAGCAGAGGCCAGCUAGACCAGCAUGGAUCAGCAGAGGUCAGCUAGACCAGCAUGGAUCAGCAGAGGCCAGCUUGACCAGCAUGGAUCAGUAGAGGUCAGCUAGACCAGCAUGGAUCAGCAGAGGCCAGCUAGACCAGCAUGGAUCAGCAGAGGCCAGCUAGACCAGCAUGGAUCAGCAGAGGUCAGCUAGACCAGCAUGGAUCAGUAGAGGCCAGCUAGACCAGCAUGGAUCAGCAGAGGCCAGCUAGACCAGAAUGGAUCAGCAGAGGCCAGCUAGACCAGCAUGGAUCAGUAGAGGCCAGCUUGACCAGCAUGGAUCAGUAGAGGCCAGCUAGACCAGCAUGGAUCAGCAGAGGCCAGCUAGACCAGCAUGGAUCAGCAGAGGCCAGCUAGACCAGCAUGGAUCAGUAGAGGUCAGCUAGACCAGCAUGGAUCAGCAGAGGCCAGCUAGACCAGCAUGGAUCAGCAGAGGCCAGCUAGACCAGCAUGGAUCGGCAGAGGCCAACUUGACCAGCAUGGAUCAGCAGAGGCCAGCUAGACCAGCAUGGAUCAGCAGAGGCCAGCUUGACAUUUAUGCUGGACUGUGUUUGUUUUGUUUUUCAGCAGGAUCAAUAGAAUACAGUCAAAUCAAUGAACUGUAUGACCUAGUAAAACCCCUGGCUGCUCACAGCAGGUUCUCAUUCAGAUGAAUGGCUUUUCACUUACAGACACAAUGGAUUGUGUUUUAUACAGCCUAGCCAAGUACAACUUCCAGCAUCUGUUUACUGUGAACACUGAGGCUGUACCUGCUUUAAGUUACAGUUUUACUGUGAACACUGAGGCUGUACCUGCUUUAAGUUACAGUUUUACUUUGAACACUGAGGCUGUACCUGCUACAGUUUUACUGUGAACACUGAGGCUGUACCCGCUUUAAGUUACAGUUUUACUGUGAACACUGAGGCUGUACCUGCUUUAAGUUACAGUUUUACUGUGAACACUGAGGCUGUACCUGCUUUAAGUUACAGUUUUACUUUGAACACUGAGGCUGUACCUGCUACAGUUUUACUGUGAACACUGAGGCUGUACCCGCUUUAAGUUACAGUUUUACUGUGAACACUGAGGCUGUACCCGCUUUAAGUUACAGUUUUACUGUGAACACUGAGGCUGUACCCACUUUAAGUUACAGUUUUACUGUGAACACUGAGGCUGUACCCGCUUUAAGUUACAGUUUUACUGUGAACACUGAGGCUGUACCCGCGUUAAGUUACAGUUUUACUGUGAACACUGAGGCUGUACCCACUUUAAGUUACAGUUUUACUGUGAACACUGAGGCUGUACCCACUUUAAGUUACAGUUUUACUGUGAACACUGAGGCUGUACCCGCGUUAAGUUACAGUUUUACUGUGAACACUGAGGCUGUACCUGCCUUAAGUUACAGUUUUACUGUGAACACUGAGGCUGGAGCUACUUUAAGUUACAGUUUUACUGUGAACACUGAGGCUGUACCUGCUUUAAGUUACAGUUUUACUGUGAACACUGAGGCUGUACCUGCUAAGUUACAGUUUUACUGUGAACACUGAGGCUGUACCUGCUUUAAGUUACAGUUUUACUGUGAACACUGAGGCUGUACCUGCUUUAAGUUACAGUUUUACUGUGAACACUGAGGCUCUACCUGCUUUAAGUUACUGUUUUACUGUGAACACUGAGGCUGUACCCGCUUUAAGUUACUGUUUUACUGUGAACACUGAGGCUGUACCUGCUUUAAGUUACAGUUUUAACAGUGGCUAACUAGUCUACUGUGUGUAUUUGAUCAUAAUGUAGACCUACCAGAGAGGCCUACCAUCAAAAACAAUGGAGAAAAUGCAUCCCAUAACAUUUUAUCAUGGAAACAGCUGUUCUAUCAUUCAGACUACAGUAUCAGCCGAUGUGGGGUGUUCUAAAAACAUACAGGACACGAACCUGUUAAUCCACUCGUCCUUCAGACAAGGAGGUGACUGUGUUGUUAAUCCACUCGUCCUUCAGACAAGGAGGUGACUGUGUUGUUAAUCCACUCGUCCUUCAGACAAGGAGGUGACUGUGUUGUUAAUCCACUCGUCCUUCAGACAAGGAGGUGACUGUGUUGUUAAUCCACUCGUCCUUCAGACAAGGAGGUGACUGUGUUGUUAAUCCACUCGUCCUUCAGACAAGGAGGUGACUGUGUUGUUAAUCCACUCGUCCUUCAGACAAGGAGGUGACUGUGUUGUUAAUCCACUCGUCCUUCAGACAAGGAGGUGACUGUGUUGUUAAUCCACUCGUCCUUCAGACAAGGAGGUGACUGUGUUGUUAAUCCACUCGUCCUUCAGACAAGGAGGUGACUGUGUUGUUAAUCCACUCGUCCUUCAGACAAGGAGGUGACUGUGUUGUUAAUCCACUCGUCCUUCAGACAAGGAGGUGACUGUGUUGUUAAUCCACUCGUCCUUCAGACAAGGAGGUGACUGUGUUGUUAAUCCACUCGUCCUUCAGACAAGGAGGUGACUGUGUUGUUAAUCCACUCGUCCUUCAGACAAGGAGGUGACUGUGUUGUUAAUCCACUCGUCCUUCAGACAAGGAGGUGACUGUGUUGUUAAUCCACUCGUCCUUCAGACAAGGAGGUGACUGUGUUGUUAAUCCACUCGUCCUUCAGACAAGGAGGUGACUGAACAUCUUGUUGUUAAUUCACUCAUCCAUCAGACAAGGAGGUGACUGUGUUGUUAAUCCACUCGUCCUUCAGACAAGGAGGUGACUGAACAUCUUGUUGUUAAUUCACUCAUCCAUCAGACAAGGAGGUGACUGUGUUGUUAAUCCACUCGUCCUUCAGACAAGGAGGUGACUGUGUUGUUAAUCCACUCGUCCUUCAGACAAGGAGGUGACUGUGUUGUUAAUCCACUCGUCCUUCAGACAAGGAGGUGACUGUGUUGUUAAUCCACUCGUCCUUCAGACAAGGAGGUGACUGUGUUGUUAAUCCACUCGUCCUUCAGACAAGGAGGUGACUGAACAUCUUGUUGUGUUGUAUUAUACAAGAAACCACUUAACAGAAUAAAAAGCAUUAUUAUUCCCAUACCAUUAUUACAGAGAAUCAGACACAUUAUGCUGCCCUCUGCCUAUUGGCUACUGAGCUUAUUCAAGCCUGUCUCACAAUGCAACACUGUCCCUUUAAGACAAAAACAAGCUCUUUACCUGACUCACUUUUCAAAGAUUUCUAGAAAUGUACAUAUUUUGUUCUCUUGUAGGAAGCAACCACUCCUCCACUGCUGACUACAAAUGAUCUGUAACUGGGCUAAUAACUCACUAACUAGCGAAGGAUGUGAACAGAAUGUACACACGUCGCUACAUGCAGCUCUGGCUUUGAUCUCAAAACAAACACAUCUACUCACGACCCCUCAUGCUGUAAACACAGUCCAGUUCACCUACUCACGACCGCUCAUGUUUUAAACACAGUCCAGUUCACCUACUCACGACCGCUCAUGCUGUAAACACAGUCCAGUUCACUUACUCACAACCUCUCAUGCUGUAAACACAGUCCAGUUCACCUACUCAUUAUUCCCCAUUCUGUAAACACAGUCCAGUUCACUUACUUACGACUCCUCAUGCUGUAAACACAGUCCAGUUCACCUACUCACAACUCCUCAUGCUGUAAACACAGUCCAGUUCACCUGCUCAAGACUCAUCAUGCUGUAAACACAGUCCAGUUCACCUGCUCACGACUCCUCAUGCUGUAAACACAGUCCAGUUCACCUACUCACAACUCCUCAUGCUGUAAACACAGUCCAGUUCACCUACUCACAACUCCUCAUGCUGUAAACACAGUCCAGUUCACCUGCUCAAGACUCAUCAUGCUGUAAACACAGUCCAGUUCACCUGCUCACGA
This is a long non-coding RNA of Oncorhynchus keta (chum salmon), 7821 nucleotides long. RefSeq lists it as uncharacterized. The record is from RefSeq and is a predicted model, not a curated record. NCBI's taxonomy places the organism in Eukaryota, Metazoa, Chordata, Actinopteri, Salmoniformes, Salmonidae. The transcript is spliced from 6 exons.